AUGAUUCAGUGCAAAGGGCCUCCGCUUCCCCAUGUUCGGCUGCGCCACUCAUCGGAGUGGCACCACCGGGAUAUGCUUCAGCCGGAAGGAAGAGUGCCCUCCGCUUCAUCAUGUCUGGCAGCCCGCUCAUCGGAUUACCAUGAGCCCAGGAUGUAUAUGAUUCAGUGCAAAGGGCCUCCGCUUCCCCAUGUUCGGCUGCGCCACUCAUCGGAGUGGCACCACCGGGAUAUGCUUCAGCCGGAAGGAAGAGUGCCCUCCGCUUCCGUGAAGCACGGAUCAAGGUUGUUUUUUGGGGCGGGGAACGACGGUGGCCUGCGAACCGAGCAAGACACCGGCUGUGUACGUUGGCGUCGCCUUGUCGGUGGCCUUCAUGGGAACCAAGCGGUGGCGGCCUCCCAUGUUCUACUACUCCUCGAUGAUGGCGGCGGGCACGGACGUGCGGGCCAUCGCCUCGUCGAUCUCCGUGAAGCCGACUUCUUUCUUCGCCGGCAGGACGCGGUUCCACGAAUGUUGACGGCGCGGUCGCAGGUACUGGAGGAGCGGUAUGACACGACGUCGUCCAUGAUAGUCACGAUGCCCAUGUCGUCGUGCUCCCUUGCUACAACUAAGAUUCAUGGACGUGCAACUUGUAGUUUUUUAUCUUGA
Molecule: ribosomal RNA, 645 nt
Filed under: Triticum aestivum (bread wheat)
Lineage: Eukaryota; Viridiplantae; Streptophyta; Magnoliopsida; Poales; Poaceae
Description: partial small subunit ribosomal RNA
Source: RNAcentral